CCUACGGGGGGCAGCAGUGAGGAAUAUUGGUCAAUGGACGAGAGUCUGAACCAGCCAAGUAGCGUGAAGGAUGACUGCCCUAUGGGUUGUAAACUUCUUUUAUAUGGGAAUAAAACGUUCCACGUGUGGGAUUUUGUAUGUACCAUAUGAAUAAGGAUCGGCUAACUCCGUGCCAGCAGCCGCGGUAAUACGGAGGAUCCGAGCGUUAUCCGGAUUUAUUGGGUUUAAAGGGAGCGUAGGUGGAUUGUUAAGUCAGUUGUGAAAGUUUGCGGCUCAACCGUAAAAUUGCAGUUGAAACUGGCAGUCUUGGGUACAGUAGAGGUGGGCGGAAUUCGUGGUGUAGCGGUGAAAUGCUUAGAUAUCACGAAGAACUCCGAUUGCGAAGGCAGUUCACUGGACUGCAACUGACACUGAGGCUCGAAAGUGUGGGUAUCAAACAGGAUUAGAUACCCUUGUAGUC
This 460-nucleotide ribosomal RNA is filed under the name uncultured bacterium. Its description in RNAcentral is "partial 16S ribosomal RNA". It matches the Rfam family "Bacterial small subunit ribosomal RNA", at positions 338 to 795 of the family's 1533-position model. The record is from RNAcentral.